GACGAACGCUGGCGGCGUGCCUAAUACAUGCAAGUCGAGCGAGCUUGCCUAGAUGAAUUUGGUGCUUGCACCAGAUGAAACUAGAUACAAGCGAGCGGCGGACGGGUGAGUAACACGUGGGUAACCUGCCCAAGAGACUGGGAUAACACCUGGAAACAGAUGCUAAUACCGGAUAACAACACUAGACGCAUGUCUAGAGUUUAAAAGAUGGUUCUGCUAUCACUCUUGGAUGGACCUGCGGUGCAUUAGCUAGUUGGUAAGGUAACGGCUUACCAAGGCAAUGAUGCAUAGCCGAGUUGAGAGACUGAUCGGCCACAUUGGGACUGAGACACGGCCCAAACUCCUACGGGAGGCAGCAGUAGGGAAUCUUCCACAAUGGACGCAAGUCUGAUGGAGCAACGCCGCGUGAGUGAAGAAGGGUUUCGGCUCGUAAAGCUCUGUUGGUAGUGAAGAAAGAUAGAGGUAGUAACUGGCCUUUAUUUGACGGUAAUUACUUAGAAAGUCACGGCUAACUACGUGCCAGCAGCCGCGGUAAUACGUAGGUGGCAAGCGUUGUCCGGAUUUAUUGGGCGUAAAGCGAGUGCAGGCGGUUCAAUAAGUCUGAUGUGAAAGCCUUCGGCUCAACCGGAGAAUUGCAUCAGAAACUGUUGAACUUGAGUGCAGAAGAGGAGAGUGGAACUCCAUGUGUAGCGGUGGAAUGCGUAGAUAUAUGGAAGAACACCAGUGGUGAAGGCGGCUCUCUGGUCUGCAACUGACGCUGAGGCUCGAAAGCAUGGGUAGCGAACAGG
Molecule: ribosomal RNA, 788 nt
Filed under: uncultured Lactobacillus sp.
Lineage: Bacteria; Bacillati; Bacillota; Bacilli; Lactobacillales; Lactobacillaceae
Description: bacterial SSU rRNA
Rfam family: Bacterial small subunit ribosomal RNA
Source: RNAcentral